This 26-nucleotide non-coding RNA is filed under the name Homo sapiens (human). Lineage: Eukaryota; Metazoa; Chordata; Mammalia; Primates; Hominidae. The record is from RNAcentral.
CAGCAGGGAAAAGCUGGAUGUGGUCC